GAUGAACGCUGGCGGCGUGCCUAAUACAUGCAAGUCGAACGCGGGAAAUCUAGCUUGCUAGAUUGAAGGAGUGGCGAACGGGUGAGUAAUACAUAAGCAACCUACCCACGAAGACUGGGAUAAUCUCUGGAAACGGGGACUAAUACCGGAUAGGUAAUCGGAAGGCAUCUUCUGAUUAUUAAAGGUUAAAAACACUGGUGGAUGGGCUUAUGGCGCAUUAGUUAGUUGGUGAGGUAACGGCCCACCAAGACGAUGAUGCGUAGCCGGCCUGAGAGGGUGAACGGCCACAUUGGGACUGAGACACGGCCCAGACUCCUACGGGAGGCAGCAGUAGGGAAUUUUCGGCAAUGGGGGAAACCCUGACCGAGCAACGCCGCGUGAGUGAUGACGGCCUUCGGGUUGUAAAGCUCUGUUGUAAGGGAAGAACGGUAGAUAGAGAAUAUCUAAAUGACGGUACCUUACCAGAAAGCCACGGCUAACUACGUG
RNAcentral lists this ribosomal RNA (486 nucleotides) under uncultured bacterium. Its description in RNAcentral is "partial 16S ribosomal RNA". It matches the Rfam family "Bacterial small subunit ribosomal RNA", at positions 28 to 507 of the family's 1533-position model. The record is from RNAcentral.